UUAAGCGACUAAGCGUACACGGUGGAUGCCCUGGCAGUCAGAGGCGAUGAAGGACGUGCUAAUCUGCGAUAAGCGUCGGUGAGGUGAUAUGAACCGUUAUAACCGGCGAUUUCCGAAUGGGGAAACCCAGUGUGUUUCGACACACUAUCAUUAACUGAAUCCAUAGGUUAAUGAGGCGAACCGGGGGAACUGAAACAUCUAAGUACCCCGAGGAAAAGAAAUCAACCGAGAUUCCCCCAGUAGCGGCGAGCGAACGGGGAGGAGCCCAGAGCCUGAAUCAGUGUGUGUGUUAGUGGAAGCGUCUGGAAAGGCGUGCGAUACAGGGUGACAGCCCCGUACACAAAAAUGCACAUAUUGUGAGCUCGAUGAGUAGGGCGGGACACGUGGUAUCCUGUCUGAAUAUGGGGGGACCAUCCUCCAAGGCUAAAUACUCCUGACUGACCGAUAGUGAACCAGUACCGUGAGGGAAAGGCGAAAAGAACCCCGGCGAGGGGAGUGAAAAAGAACCUGAAACCGUGUACGUACAAGCAGUGGGAGCCUCUUAAUGGGGUGACUGCGUACCUUUUGUAUAAUGGGUCAGCGACUUAUAUUCUGUAGCAAGGUUAACCGAAUAGGGGAGCCGAAGGGAAACCGAGUCUUAACUGGGCGUUAAGUUGCAGGGUAUAGACCCGAAACCCGGUGAUCUAGCCAUGGGCAGGUUGAAGGUUGGGUAACACUAACUGGAGGACCGAACCGACUAAUGUUGAAAAAUUAGCGGAUGACUUGUGGCUGGGGGUGAAAGGCCAAUCAAACCGGGAGAUAGCUGGUUCUCCCCGAAAGCUAUUUAGGUAGCGCCUCGUGAAUUCAUCUCCGGGGGUAGAGCACUGUUUCGGCAAGGGGGUCAUCCCGACUUACCAACCCGAUGCAAACUGCGAAUACCGGAGAAUGUUAUCACGGGAGACACACGGCGGGUGCUAACGUCCGUCGUGAAGAGGGAAACAACCCAGACCGCCAGCUAAGGUCCCAAAGUCAUGGUUAAGUGGGAAACGAUGUGGGAAGGCCCAGACAGCCAGGAUGUUGGCUUAGAAGCAGCCAUCAUUUAAAGAAAGCGUAAUAGCUCACUGGUCGAGUCGGCCUGCGCGGAAGAUGUAACGGGGCUAAACCAUGCACCGAAGCUGCGGCAGCGACACUAUGUGUUGUUGGGUAGGGGAGCGUUCUGUAAGCCUGUGAAGGUGGCCUGUGAGGGUUGCUGGAGGUAUCAGAAGUGCGAAUGCUGACAUAAGUAACGAUAAAGCGGGUGAAAAGCCCGCUCGCCGGAAGACCAAGGGUUCCUGUCCAACGUUAAUCGGGGCAGGGUGAGUCGACCCCUAAGGCGAGGCCGAAAGGCGUAGUCGAUGGGAAACAGGUUAAUAUUCCUGUACUUGGUGUUACUGCGAAGGGGGGACGGAGAAGGCUAUGUUGGCCGGGCGACGGUUGUCCCGGUUUAAGCGUGUAGGCUGGUUUUCCAGGCAAAUCCGGAAAACCAAGGCUGAGGCGUGAUGACGAGGCACUACGGUGCUGAAGUGACAAAUGCCCUGCUUCCAGGAAAAGCCUCUAAGCAUCAGGUAACAUCAAAUCGUACCCCAAACCGACACAGGUGGUCAGGUAGAGAAUACCAAGGCGCUUGAGAGAACUCGGGUGAAGGAACUAGGCAAAAUGGUGCCGUAACUUCGGGAGAAGGCACGCUGAUAUGUAGGUGAAGCGACUUGCUCGUGGAGCUGAAAUCAGUCGAAGAUACCAGCUGGCUGCAACUGUUUAUUAAAAACACAGCACUGUGCAAACACGAAAGUGGACGUAUACGGUGUGACGCCUGCCCGGUGCCGGAAGGUUAAUUGAUGGGGUUAGCGGUAACGCGAAGCUCUUGAUCGAAGCCCCGGUAAACGGCGGCCGUAACUAUAACGGUCCUAAGGUAGCGAAAUUCCUUGUCGGGUAAGUUCCGACCUGCACGAAUGGCGUAAUGAUGGCCAGGCUGUCUCCACCCGAGACUCAGUGAAAUUGAACUCGCUGUGAAGAUGCAGUGUACCCGCGGCAAGACGGAAAGACCCCGUGAACCUUUACUAUAGCUUGACACUGAACAUUGAGCCUUGAUGUGUAGGAUAGGUGGGAGGCUUUGAAGUGUGGACGCCAGUCUGCAUGGAGCCGACCUUGAAAUACCACCCUUUAAUGUUUGAUGUUCUAACGUUGGCCCGUAAUCCGGGUUGCGGACAGUGUCUGGUGGGUAGUUUGACUGGGGCGGUCUCCUCCUAAAGAGUAACGGAGGAGCACGAAGGUUGGCUAAUCCUGGUCGGACAUCAGGAGGUUAGUGCAAUGGCAUAAGCCAGCUUGACUGCGAGCGUGACGGCGCGAGCAGGUGCGAAAGCAGGUCAUAGUGAUCCGGUGGUUCUGAAUGGAAGGGCCAUCGCUCAACGGAUAAAAGGUACUCCGGGGAUAACAGGCUGAUACCGCCCAAGAGUUCAUAUCGACGGCGGUGUUUGGCACCUCGAUGUCGGCUCAUCACAUCCUGGGGCUGAAGUAGGUCCCAAGGGUAUGGCUGUUCGCCAUUUAAAGUGGUACGCGAGCUGGGUUUAGAACGUCGUGAGACAGUUCGGUCCCUAUCUGCCGUGGGCGCUGGAGAACUGAGGGGGGCUGCUCCUAGUACGAGAGGACCGGAGUGGACGCAUCACUGGUGUUCGGGUUGUCAUGCCAAUGGCACUGCCCGGUAGCUAAAUGCGGAAGAGAUAAGUGCUGAAAGCAUCUAAGCACGAAACUUGCCCCGAGAUGAGUUCUCCCUGACUCCUUGAGAGUCCUGAAGGAACGUUGAAGACGACGACGUUGAUAGGCCGGGUGUGUAAGCGCAGCGAUGCGUUGAGCUAACCGGUACUAAUGAACCGUGAGGCUUAACCUU
Molecule: ribosomal RNA, 2902 nt
Filed under: Escherichia coli
Lineage: Bacteria; Pseudomonadati; Pseudomonadota; Gammaproteobacteria; Enterobacterales; Enterobacteriaceae
Also listed under: 33 other names
Description: bacterial LSU rRNA
Rfam family: Bacterial large subunit ribosomal RNA
Source: RNAcentral